UACGUAGGGUGCGAGCGUUGUCCGGAAUUAUUGGGCGUAAAGAGCUUGUAGGCGGUUUGUCGCGUCUGCCGUGAAAGCCCGGGCUUAACCCUGGGUCUGCGGUGGGUACGGGCAGACUAGAGUGUGGUAGGGGAGACUGGAAUUCCUGGUGUAGCGGUGAAAUGCGCAGAUAUCAGGAGGAACACCGAUGGCGAAGGCAGGUCUCUGGGCCACUACUGACGCUGAGAAGCGAAAGCAUGGGGAGCAAACAGG
Molecule: ribosomal RNA, 252 nt
Filed under: uncultured bacterium
Lineage: Bacteria
Description: partial 16S ribosomal RNA
Rfam family: Bacterial small subunit ribosomal RNA
Source: RNAcentral